AUUGAACGCUGGCGGCAUGCUUUACACAUGCAAGUCGAACGAGUGGCGGACGGGUGAGUAACGCAUCGGAACGUACCGAGUAGAGGGGGAUAACUGCUCGAAACGAUAGCUAAUACCGCAUAUUAUUCGAGGGGCCGAUGUUGGAUUAGCUGGUUGGUGGGGUAAAGGCCCACCAAGGCGACGAUCAGUAGCUGGUCUGAGAGGAUGAUCCGCCACACUGGAACUGAGACACGGCCCAGACUCCUACGGGAGGCAGCAGUGGGGAAUUUUGGACAAUGGGCGCAAGCCUGAUGCAGCCAUGCCGCGUGUAUGAAGAAGGCCUUCGGGUUGUAAAGGACUUUUGUCAGGGAGGCGGUACCCGAAGAAUAAGCACCGGCUAACUACGUGCCAGCAGCCGCGGUAAUUC
RNAcentral lists this ribosomal RNA (406 nucleotides) under uncultured bacterium. RNAcentral describes it as "partial 16S ribosomal RNA". It matches the Rfam family "Bacterial small subunit ribosomal RNA", at positions 30 to 526 of the family's 1533-position model. The record is from RNAcentral.